Leptidea sinapis is the source of this 462-nucleotide long non-coding RNA. RefSeq lists it as uncharacterized. Lineage: Eukaryota; Metazoa; Arthropoda; Insecta; Lepidoptera; Pieridae. The record is from RefSeq and is a predicted model, not a curated record. The transcript has 3 exons.
CAACAUUUGAUAAAUUAAGUCCUGAACUAUACACUACUAGAUCAUCAGCAAAUUGGAGGGACAUUUAAGGAUAGAAGAAUGGAUGAUAAUUGUUCUAAAUCAACAUUAUUAAAUGCUCCUACAACAUCCAAAAAAACACCAGCCAAUAUCUUAUUGUCAAUCUGGGCACUAUGGAUGUCAAGACAUAAAUGCCGUAUACUCUCACAAGCAGAACGACCACAUCGAAAUCCAAAUUGAUUAUUAGGGCAUUGACCUGAUACUGCAAGAUGGUUACCUUUACAGUGCACACAUACUGCUUUGUCAAUAGGUAUAGUACAUUCUUUAUAUGAAUGAUUUUCAGUGCAGAUUGAGCAACGCUGAGCAUUCUUACAGAAUUUAGCCAAGUGGUCAAACCUAAGGCAUCGGAAACACUGCUUAACUGGCGGCACAUAAGGUCGCACUGGUAGACGCCACAUCUUUAAG